UACGUAGGGUGCGAGCGUUAUCCGGAAUUAUUGGGCGUAAAGAGCUCGUAGGCGGUUUGUCGCGUCUGUCGUGAAAGUCCGGGGCUUAACCCCGGAUCUGCGGUGGGUACGGGCAGACUAGAGUGCAGUAGGGGAGACUGGAAUUCCUGGUGUAGCGGUGGAAUGCGCAGAUAUCAGGAGGAACACCGAUGGCGAAGGCAGGUCUCUGGGCUGUAACUGACGCUGAGGAGCGAAAGCAUGGGGAGCGAACAGG
RNAcentral lists this ribosomal RNA (253 nucleotides) under Micrococcus luteus. RNAcentral's name for it is "partial 16S ribosomal RNA". It matches the Rfam family "Bacterial small subunit ribosomal RNA", at positions 524 to 776 of the family's 1533-position model. Lineage: Bacteria; Bacillati; Actinomycetota; Actinomycetes; Micrococcales; Micrococcaceae. RNAcentral also lists the same sequence under 2 other names. The record is from RNAcentral.